CGAUUAUGGACUUUUAAUCCCACCUGUGUAUGCCCCCACAUGGAACUUUCUAUAACUUUCCAUGGAAACCGGGGAUGGAGCAAUAUGUUCAAAGAAUAAUGCUAGAAAGAUUGUAUGCUGAAUCCCACAAGGUACGUGACCCCCACAAAAUAAUAAGCAUACUUCCUAUGGUAAUAAAAUAAUAAUAUAGAGAUUUUGCUACUUUCAAGACUUUGUCCCUUUCAUGUAAAUACAAAUUAUUUUUUUCACAAGUGCGUCGUAGUGUUAGGAAAUAGAAUUGAAGAAACAUUAGAAACGUCAACUAAGACUGAUGUUUAUGAAUCUCGUUUCUUUUCAACGUACUGUAGAAUGUAG
This is a non-coding RNA of Schizosaccharomyces pombe (fission yeast), 354 nucleotides long. The record is from the annotation of a GenBank genome assembly. NCBI's taxonomy places the organism in Eukaryota, Fungi, Ascomycota, Schizosaccharomycetes, Schizosaccharomycetales, Schizosaccharomycetaceae.